Non-coding RNA from Salvelinus sp. IW2-2015, 1096 nucleotides. NCBI's taxonomy places the organism in Eukaryota, Metazoa, Chordata, Actinopteri, Salmoniformes, Salmonidae. The record is from RefSeq and is a predicted model, not a curated record.
CCAGGAACACGUUUGUUCAGGGAACGUUCUUUAUUUGUGUGCACUGUGCUGUCUUAAGCUCUUUCAACCACUUUCUCUUAUAUUAUGUAAUUUUCCUGUCAGUGAGCACAUGAUGUCAUUAUUAUCUGUGUGUGAAUUCUGAGUUUAGUUUGUAACUUUGACAUAUUGGGUAUGUUUCAGCACCAGCUGUAUCUGAGUUGGAAGUCACUGGGAUUAGAGGAGAGUCUGUUUCUCCUGUCCUGUGACCUGAAUUCAUCCACGGCCAUCGACACAUCAAGACUCCGGUUCUAUUGGCAAGAUAAGUCCGGAAAAGUGUUGUACUCGUUCAACAAAGGAGAAGAGAAUCAACAUCAGGAUAACCUUUACACAAACAGAACUAAAGCCUUUGGGUCUGAGAUGAGUUCUGGGAAUAUCUCUAUCAAACUCAGCCAAGUAACACUUGAAGACAAGCAGAAUGUCUACUGGGCUUUCCCUACACUGUUUGACGAGAAUGAUAAGCAUAUCCUCGAGUUGAUAAAGUGUGUCCCCUACCCUACUUGUGGCAGCACGGUUCCGACACCCAGUGUGACUGUGAACAAGACAAAUAUGAAUGCCACGUGUUCAACCCAGGGGGGAUACCCACAGCCAGUCGUCACAUGGACAUCCAGGACGUCCUAUUGGCUCAGACCGCACUCUGGACCCGUGGGAGAGUACAGACCAAAAGACAACCUGAUCCUGAAAAGUGGACUGUUACACCGUCUGGAGCCAAGUGAAUAUAAGAGAAAAUCAGACGGUGACCUGCCAUAUCUUCAACCCCGUUCUGAGAGAGACUGUGAGCAACACAACCAUCGUCAACUCCAAUCAGAGCAUUAACACAGACCCUGCAGGUGAUGUUCAGGAAGGCUUUUCUCUCAUAAUUAUUGUAGUUAUCACUACAGUAUUGAUUCUGUUUUGCUUCGGUGUCGGUGGGAGGGGUUAUUUUGUGUACAAAAAACGUUGUYGAGCCAGUGGUGGAACCAAAGAAGUUGAAGGGAAGAACCAUCAAGGAAAUGGUAUUGUUGAGACAGAGCUUUGGACAGGCGUAGGCCGGCACCAGACAUUCUAGAGGCAGACAGGU